CACGUAGGGUGCGAGCGUUGCCCGGAAUUAUUGGGCGUAAAGAGCUCGUAGGCGGUGUGUCGCGUCGGCCGUGAAAACCUGCAGCUUAACUGUGGGCUUGCGGUCGAUACGGGCAUCACUGGAGUUCGGCAGGGGAGACUGGAAUUCCUGGUGUAGCGGUGAAAUGCGCAGAUAUCAGGAGGAACACCGGUGGCGAAGGCGGGUCUCUGGGCCGAUACUGACGCUGAGGAGCGAAAGCGUGGGGAGCGAACAGG
Molecule: ribosomal RNA, 254 nt
Filed under: uncultured bacterium
Lineage: Bacteria
Description: partial 16S ribosomal RNA
Rfam family: Bacterial small subunit ribosomal RNA
Source: RNAcentral